Camelus ferus (Wild Bactrian camel) is the source of this 72-nucleotide transfer RNA. It matches the Rfam family "tRNA". Rfam says of the family: Transfer RNA (tRNA) molecules are approximately 80 nucleotides in length. Their secondary structure includes four short double-helical elements and three loops (D, anti-codon, and T loops). Further hydrogen bonds mediate the characteristic L-shaped molecular structure. tRNAs have two regions of fundamental functional importance: the anti-codon, which is responsible for specific mRNA codon recognition, and the 3' end, to which the tRNAs corresponding amino acid is attached (by aminoacyl-tRNA synthetases). tRNAs cope with the degeneracy of the genetic code in two manners: having more than one tRNA (with a specific anti-codon) for a particular amino acid; and 'wobble' base-pairing, i.e. permitting non-standard base-pairing at the 3rd anti-codon position. NCBI's taxonomy places the organism in Eukaryota, Metazoa, Chordata, Mammalia, Artiodactyla, Camelidae. The record is from Rfam.
GAGGGUAUAGCUCAGAGGUAGAGCGCAUGCUUAGCAUACACAAGGUCCCGGGUUCAAUCCCCAGUACCUCCA